RNAcentral lists this ribosomal RNA (1252 nucleotides) under metagenome. RNAcentral's name for it is "bacterial SSU rRNA". It matches the Rfam family "Bacterial small subunit ribosomal RNA", at positions 243 to 1520 of the family's 1533-position model. The record is from RNAcentral.
AGCUAGUUGGUGAGGUAACGGCCCACCAAGGCGACGAUCGGUAGCCGGACUGAGAGGUUGAACGGCCACAUUGGGACUGAGACACGGCCCAGACUCCUACGGGAGGCAGCAGUGGGGAAUAUUGCACAAUGGGGGAAACCCUGGUGCAGCGACGCCGCGUGGAGGAAGAAGGUCUUCGGAUUGUAAACUCCUGUUGUUGAGGAAGAUAAUGACGGUACUCAACAAGGAAGUGACGGCUAACUACGUGCCAGCAGCCGCGGUAAAACGUAGGUCACAAGCGUUGUCCGGAAUUACUGGGUGUAAAGGGAGCGCAGGCGGGAAGACAAGUUGGAAGUGAAAUCCAUGGGCUUAACCCAUGAACUGCUUUCAAAACUGUUUUUCUUGAGUAGUGCAGAGGUAGGCGGAAUUCCCGGUGUAGCGGUGGAAUGCGUAGAUAUCGGGAGGAACACCAGUGGCGAAGGCGGCCUACUGGGCACCAACUGACGCUGAGGCUCGAAAGUGUGGGUAGCAAACAGGAUUAGAUACCCUGGUAGUCCACACCGUAAACGAUGAUUACUAGGUGUUGGAGGAUUGACCCCUUCAGUGCCGCAGUUAACACAAUAAGUAAUCCACCUGGGGAGUACGACCGCAAGGUUGAAACUCAAAGGAAUUGACGGGGGCCCGCACAAGCAGUGGAGUAUGUGGUUUAAUUCGACGCAACGCGAAGAACCUUACCAAGUCUUGACAUCCUGUGACAGACGUAGAAAUACGUUCUUCCUUCGGGACACAGAGACAGGUGGUGCAUGGUUGUCGUCAGCUCGUGUCGUGAGAUGUUGGGUUAAGUCCCGCAACGAGCGCAACCCUUAUGGUCAGUUACUACGCAAGAGGACUCUGGCCAGACUGCCGUUGACAAAACGGAGGAAGGUGGGGAUGACGUCAAAUCAUCAUGCCCUUUAUGGCUUGGGCUACACACGUACUACAAUGGCGUUAAACAAAGAGAAGCAAGACCGCGAGGUGGAGCAAAACUCAGAAACAACGUCCCAGUUCAGACUGCAGGCUGCAACUCGCCUGCACGAAGUCGGAAUUGCUAGUAAUCGUGGAUCAGCAUGCCACGGUGAAUACGUUCCCGGGCCUUGUACACACCGCCCGUCACACCAUGAGAGCCGGGGGGACCCGAAGUCGGUAGUCUAACCGCAAGGAGGACGCCGCCGAAGGUAAAACUGGUGAUUGGGGUGAAGUCGUAACAAGGUAGCCGUAGGAGAACCUGCGGCUG